ACUGUUACAGAGCGUGAAGCUAUGCGGAACUUCGUUUCGUGUAGUUGACCCUCCACCCGUGUCGAUUA
This 68-nucleotide ribosomal RNA is filed under the name Blumeria graminis f. sp. tritici. Its description in RNAcentral is "partial 18S rRNA". Lineage: Eukaryota; Fungi; Ascomycota; Leotiomycetes; Helotiales; Erysiphaceae. The record is from RNAcentral.